GACGAACGCUGGCGGCGUGCUUAACACAUGCAAGUCGAACGGACAGGCCCUGCUUUUGUUGGUUGCUCGAGUGCCGAACGGGUGUGUGACACGUGAGUAACCUCCCCUUGACUUUGUGAUAACUUCUCGGAACUGGGGCUCAUACCCGAUAUGAUCUCCUGCUGCAUGGUGGGGGUUGGAAAGUUUCGGCGGUUGGGGAUGGACUCGCGGCUUAUCAGCUUGUUGGUGUGGUAGUGGCUUACCAAGGCUUUGACGGGUAGCCGGCCUGAGAGGGUUACCGGCGACAAUGGGACUGAGAUACGGCCCAGACUGCUAAGGGAGGCAGCAGGGGAGAAUAUUGCAGAAUGGGCGGAAGCCUGAGGUAGCAACGCCGCGUGCGGGAAGACGGGCUUUGGGUGAUAAACAGCUGUCGACGGUGACGAAGCGGGAGUGACGGUAAUGGGUAAAGAAGCACCGGCUAACUACGUG
This 468-nucleotide ribosomal RNA is filed under the name uncultured bacterium. RNAcentral's name for it is "partial 16S ribosomal RNA". It matches the Rfam family "Bacterial small subunit ribosomal RNA", at positions 28 to 507 of the family's 1533-position model. The record is from RNAcentral.